AAAUCUCGUGCGCAUAUCCAAAUAGAGUGAUUCAAAGUUCCGCAGAUAGAUACGGAAAAGAUCUACAACUUGGCGUUGGUCUCAUCCUCAAAUUCAUUACGGAUUGUCCGUGGUGAAAGCCCUCUUCAAUACCUUCAUUUUGGCGGUGGUUUCACUUCGAUUGACCUCCAGAAACUGAAAUGGUUCACAGGUCAAGAUCUGGUCAGAUCUGACUUUGUCGAAUUAAACCAGGAGCUUGGGAACGAAUCUUUGAGUGAAACAAAUUGGGGGAUGUUUGGGUUAUACCAUGGUGAUAACCGAGAGAGGCAAUUGCUAAGUUGUGAUACUCUCAUACCUUUACUAGACGCGAGCAAUUCCGGAGAAGAAGAAGAAGUGGAAUUGGACAAGGAUUUUAUUUAUAUUGUUGGGAUUCUUAUAUUGAUAGAGUUGAAGAAGUACAGGGACAAAUAAGCCAAGGCAAGCCAUCUUUUGAUCUCUGAUCCGGUGUCUAGUUGGAUGUCAUUUGUUGAUGUUCAAAGCACCUUCAUUCUAUGUGUGUUAUUAUCUCUAUUUAUGUCAUCUAUGUGUGUUUGCAAGUGGGGUACUCCCUAGUGGUGAUGCUCCACUAUUUGUCCUUGUGUUAUGGGAUGCAUGGUAGCAUGGCCGUGCUAUCCCACUUGGUUA
Molecule: long non-coding RNA, 663 nt
Organism: Lolium perenne
Lineage: Eukaryota; Viridiplantae; Streptophyta; Magnoliopsida; Poales; Poaceae
Source: RefSeq, a predicted model, not a curated record